Molecule: ribosomal RNA, 497 nt
Filed under: uncultured bacterium
Lineage: Bacteria
Description: partial 16S ribosomal RNA
Rfam family: Bacterial small subunit ribosomal RNA
Source: RNAcentral
GAUGAACGCUGGCGGCGUGCCUAAUACAUGCAAGUCGAGCGAACAGAUGAGGAGCUUGCUCCUCUGACGUUAGCGGCGGACGGGUGAGUAACACGUGGAUAACCUACCUAUAAGACUGGGAUAACUUCGGGAAACCGGAGCUAAUACCGGAUAAUAUAUUGAACCGCAUGGUUCAAUAGUGAAAGACGGUUUUGCUGUCACUUAUAGAUGGAUCCGCGCCGCAUUAGCUAGUUGGUAAGGUAACGGCUUACCAAGGCGACGAUGCGUAGCCGACCUGAAAGGGUGAUCGGCCCAACGGGAACGGAGACACGGUCAAGCCUCCAACGGGAGGCAGCAGUAGGGAAUCUUCCGCAAUGAGGGAAAGCCUGACGGAGCAACGCCGCGUGAGUGAUGAGGGUCUUCGGAUCGUAAAACUCUGUUAUUAGGGAAGAACAAAUGUGUAAGUAACUAUGCACGUCUUGACGGUACCUAAUCAGAAAGCCACGGCUAACUACGUG